This 59-nucleotide transfer RNA is filed under the name Marphysa tamurai. RNAcentral's name for it is "tRNA-Val". Lineage: Eukaryota; Metazoa; Annelida; Polychaeta; Eunicida; Eunicidae. The record is from RNAcentral.
CGAAGUAAUAUUAAUUCUUCCCCUUACACCGGAAAAAAGCUAAUGUCUAGCUACUUCGC